UGGCUUAGCGGGUAAGAGCAUUUGCUUUGUAAGCAUGAGGACCUGAGUUCAAAUCCCAA
This 59-nucleotide transfer RNA is filed under the name Neotoma lepida (desert woodrat). It matches the Rfam family "tRNA", at positions 8 to 63 of the family's 71-position model. Rfam says of the family: Transfer RNA (tRNA) molecules are approximately 80 nucleotides in length. Their secondary structure includes four short double-helical elements and three loops (D, anti-codon, and T loops). Further hydrogen bonds mediate the characteristic L-shaped molecular structure. tRNAs have two regions of fundamental functional importance: the anti-codon, which is responsible for specific mRNA codon recognition, and the 3' end, to which the tRNAs corresponding amino acid is attached (by aminoacyl-tRNA synthetases). tRNAs cope with the degeneracy of the genetic code in two manners: having more than one tRNA (with a specific anti-codon) for a particular amino acid; and 'wobble' base-pairing, i.e. permitting non-standard base-pairing at the 3rd anti-codon position. The record is from Rfam by way of RNAcentral. Lineage: Eukaryota; Metazoa; Chordata; Mammalia; Rodentia; Cricetidae.